CAGUCUUUUAUCUUUCUCCCUAUCCUAUAAGGACUCUCAUAAAACCUUUAUUUUUUUACUGUUGGGUUUACAGGCUGUGCAUUUGGAUCAGCUGCUAUUUGGCAAUACGAAUCACUGAAAUCCAGGGGUCCAGAGUUAUUUUGAUGGCAUAAAAGCUGAUUGGUUGGAUAGCAUAAGACCACAAAAAGAAGGAGACUUCAGAAAGGAGAUUAACAAGCGGUGGAAUAACCUAAGUGAUGGCCAGCGGACUCAGGUAUCAUAGCUGCAAACGUCCUUGUAUUCUGUUUGUGGAGAGUACCUUCUCUGCAGUGGACAGUGAUCUGAUAUUUCAAAUCUAAUCCAGCCUCAAAAGUCCGUUGUUCUCCAAUGUUGCUGUCAACAUUCAAUCAUUUCUCCUUAUUUCACAUGGCAGCAAAUAUGUAUGUUUUGUGGAGCUUCUCCUUCAGUAUAGUGAACAUUCUGGGUCAAGAGCAGUUCAUGGCAGUGUACCUAUCUGCAGGUGUUAUUUCCAAUUUUGUCAGUUAUGUGUGUAAAGUUGCCACACGAAGAUAUGGACCAUCACUUGGUGCAUCUCGCGCCAUCAUGAUGAUCCUCGCAGCUGUCCGCACUAAGAUCCCAGAAGGGAGGCUUGCCAUUAUUUACUUCCAAUGUUCACAUUCACAGCAGGAAAUGCCCUACAAUCCAUUAACGCCACGGAUAUGGCAGGAAUGAUCCUGGGACGGAAAUUUUUUGAUUAUGCAGCACAUCUUGGGGGAGCUCUCUUUGGAAUAUGGUAUGUUACUUACCCUCAUGAACUGAUUUGGAAGAACAGGGAGCCUCUAGUGAAAAUCUGGCAUGAAAUGAGGACUAAUGCCCCCCCAAACAAGAGGUGGCUCUAAGUAAAACUGGGAUUGCACAGUACCGGUGCACCUGUCUUGUCCUGCCGGAGAGCCCCAGGAGACAUCGGCCCUAGAGUGAUCAUGGCUACGUUCCCGCCUGGAAGACGCCAGCAUCUGGCCUCCCACUGUUUUCAGCUGUGUCCCCGGGUCCGUGUCUUUUCAGAAAGUGA
Molecule: long non-coding RNA, 1048 nt
Filed under: Homo sapiens (human)
Lineage: Eukaryota; Metazoa; Chordata; Mammalia; Primates; Hominidae
Description: non-protein coding lnc-AIG1-4:2
Source: RNAcentral